ACACUUAUUUAUGGUGUAGGACAAAUGGAGGCCUUAGCUUCAAAGCAAGGAACCCAAAAAUGUAAUCCACACACUUCCCAUCCUUUUCAUUAUUCCCUUCCCCUUCUCUUCCAAUCUCAGUCUUUAGCAAAGUUGCAAAUCUCCAACAUUAACCAUUCAACCACCUAACCUGCCAAACCUUACUAGACAAGUACUCCACCUCAAUCUAUAUAUAUUUCUCUCCGAACUUUCUUUCACAUGUUUUCACACUAAUUAUGGGUAUGAUCAAAAUUUUCAUGUUUUGCAUCAUGCUAACCGCAGUGCUUUUCUCUCUUCUCUACAUUCCAACCAAACUAACCAUGCCCAUCUCAAGCUUUAGGCCCAUUAUGAACUACUUAAACAUACAAAAAACCAACAAAACAUCAUAUCCUACAACAUUUGCCUACCUCAUUUCAGCCUCCAAAGGUGAUACUGUAAAGCUAAAACGCUUGGUACGUGCACUAUAUCAUCCGGGGAAUUACUAUUUGAUUCACUUGGAUCAUGGUGCACCUGCGUGGGAGCAUCGUGAUAUAGCGAAGUUUGUGGCUAGUGACCAAGUUUUCGGCCAAGUGGGUAAUGUUUGGAUUGUUAAAAAACCAAACUUGGUCACAUAUAGAGGUCCAACCAUGCUUGCCACCACUCUUCAUGCAAUGGCUAUACUCUUGAGGACUUGCAAAUGGGAUUGGUUCAUAAACCUUAGUGCUUCUGACUAUCCUUUAGUCACUCAAGAUGGUAGGAUCUGAUUCAUGCCUUCUCUGAUUUGCCAAGAAAUCUAAAUUUCAUACAGCACAGCGGUAGAUUGGGUUGGAAACUGAAUAAGAGAGCCAAGCCAGUCAUAAUAGACCCAGCACUCUAUAGCCACAACAAAUCUGAGAUUUGGUGGGUUAUUAAGCAGAGGACUCUCCCAACAGCUUUUAAGCUUUAUACAGGUUCAGCUUGGACUAUACUGUCAAGAUCUUUUGCUGAGUAUUGCAUAGUGGGCUGGGACAAUUUGCCAAGGACUCUCCUCCUCUACUAUACCAACUUUGUAUCAUCUCCUGAGGGAUAUUUCCAGACUCUGACAUGCAAUUCUGAAGACUACAGGAACACUACAGUUAACCAUGACCUCCGCUACAUUACAUGGGAUAAUCCACCGAAGCAGCACCCUAGGUCCCUUGGACUUAAAGAUUAUAGAGGUGCGGUUCUAAGCAACCGCCCUUUUGCGAGGAAGUUCAAGAAAAAUGACAGAGUUCUCGACAAAAUUGAUCGACUGCUUCUCAAAAGACACCACAGACAUUUCACAUAUGGUGGGUGGUGUUCUGGGAGUGGAGAGAUGUAUAAUACGUGUUCAGCUUUGCAAAGUGAGAAUUAUGGUGUUUUGAAGCCUGGACCAGGGGCUAGAAGGUUGAAAUCUUCACUAACAAGAGCUCUUUCUGAGAGGAAUUUUCGCAGGCAGCAAUGCAGAUGAUUCUUUAACAAAAAUGAGCAAGUCCUUGAUAUUAAUAUAUUGAUUGAUUUUUUAAAAAAAUUUGGGUUUGAAUUUGGCUAAGGUUAGUUAUUUUUAGCUAAAAUUGUUGAUUCAAAAUUUGACGGUUCUAAGCUUAUGUGAAUCUUCUUGGUGUAAGUAUUAUAUUUUGUGAAAAGAGCAGGCAUGAAUUUAAGCAAAGAGUCAAGACUCAAGAAUUUAGUCACAAUGUUACAUGCCUAUUACAUUUUCAUUGUAUAUUGAGUUCUAGUUUGAAGUACAAUGGAAAAGCAAAUACAGAUCCGAUGGGUCAAAAUUUAA
Molecule: RNA transcript, 1783 nt
Organism: Quercus lobata
Lineage: Eukaryota; Viridiplantae; Streptophyta; Magnoliopsida; Fagales; Fagaceae
Gene: UNE7
Gene name: Core-2/I-branching beta-1,6-N-acetylglucosaminyltransferase family protein
Exons: 4
Source: RefSeq, a predicted model, not a curated record